This is a long non-coding RNA of Aegilops tauschii subsp. strangulata, 4071 nucleotides long. RefSeq lists it as uncharacterized. The record is from RefSeq and is a predicted model, not a curated record. Lineage: Eukaryota; Viridiplantae; Streptophyta; Magnoliopsida; Poales; Poaceae.
ACCCUGCUGCGCACGGGCGAUCCAGUCUGCUCCUCUUCUCCCGACCCACCCCCUCCUCCUCCUCUGUCCGUGCUGAAUCUCGAGCCAUGCAUCUUUUGGCGCGGUGAGCCUUCCCACACAUCCGCCCCUGCUCCAACUGCAGGUCCUCCUCCAGAGGACGACGGCGGUGCCAAAGGGCCCCACAUCCCAACUGGAAGGCAGAUCCCUAGACCCAGAUCCCCUCCCUUCGCAGCCAAGGACGAGGCCCUGGAUUCCGUCGCCGAGGAGCUGGCGGUUGAGGUUGAGGAGGAGAUCGCGGUGGUGUGGAGAAGGUCUAGGAGUACAUGGAGCCGUCGGAGGAGGCCAAGGUGACGUUUGCAACCUUCCCUAUGACGUCAGCAGCGAGCGCCUCGCGCAGCUCUUCGAUCAGGCUGGCGUCGUCGAGGUUGCCGAGGUGAGCAUCUCUUCCUCUUAGACCAUCUUGAACGCUGGAUGCUAUCAAAAGGUGCUGGGAUUUCUUUCCCAGUCGAUCGGCCAGGAUGCAUCAAGCGCUUGAUAUUUUCCUUCGCAGGAGGUAGAAUACUAAAGGUAUUUGAAGUCUGUAAUUAGCGCCCUACUUAGCAUGAAGAGUUGACAGAGAGCGCAUUUAGAUGAUUUUUAAUUUUGAUAUUGUAUCUAUUUUUUUAAUCUCUAAGUGUCUACACAAGCGACCCGCAUCUAUCAGUAUUAAAAUUUUUAUAAGUCCUGUGUCCUCACCGCCUUGGAAUUUAAGAAUAUCAUUGGCACAUACAGACCACAGCUGUGUACCAAUAAUGUCAAUGUACUUAGCAUGAGAGUAUUAUUUGGUCGAUGCAUAUAGACCACAGCAAGUCGAUGAAUUAUUUGACCCUGAUGCUACCUUUGAGCUGGCUAGCGUCGUUGAGGUUACCGUGGUGAGCAGCUCUUCCUCUUAGACCAUCUUCAGUGCUGGAUGAUAGUUCCACAUUCGAUACGUGGCAUCGGUGACAAAAGAUGCAUCAAGUUCACACAAGGUAAAAUACUGAAGGUGUAUUCAAUCUGUAAUUAGCACCCAUACUUAACAUCAAGUGCUUACUGAGUUAUUUCACAAAAAAGGUGACAGGGAGGAAGCUUAGAUGGUUUUUAAUUUUACGAUAUUUAUUUUUUGUAUUUUUCUGAGCGUCUACACAUGCGACCUGCAUUAUAGAUGAUGUUAGCCUGCUGCCAUUGACGUUCCUCUGUAGACACACGCACAUUUUCCCCGGUGAAGGGAAUACCUCAAAUCCUCAUAACCCUGAUUAUGUGUCGUGUUUUUGCAAGACUGAAGCUGACAAAUUCGGUUCUAGAUGUAAAUGAUGACUGAUUUAAUGUGGUGGUUGUGUUGUUGAAGCUCAUAUGAUGGAGCGUUUAUGCACAACUGAAGUGGUACAUUCACUUCUGCAUACCUAUCGAACAACUUCCAAAACUUCUGAAAGCAAAGAGCUGGAGAACCAUCCUCUAGGCUCUCCUGUACCACCACAGAUUAUUUUGCUUCCAAAACCACUGAUAAACGCAGCAAGUUUUAAGUGCAAUUCCACAUCCAGAUGUUAUUCAGGUUGUCAUGAUACUAUAUCAGCUUAAAAAUUUAUUUUUACUCUCAAGUAGUCCAUAACUAUGUGAACCUGAACACUCAAAUCGCUGCUGGGGGAGGAUUUCCACAGUAUCUCUAGGGUGGUUAACCUGUUUGGAAUUAUUUGGAACUGAACUCCCUGAAUUGACGUCAAGCUUGGCAACCACAGAAUACAUUGUCUCGAGGUAUAAUAGCACUUGAUUCUCUAACAAUCACUGAUGCAUAAAUUGCAGCAGGGUGAACCCAAGGCCUCUCUUGUGAAUCACAUUGCUUCCAAUGAUUUCAGGAUUUAAUAUUUAAUAUUUUCUUGUUUAUUUUCUUUUCUUUUGGAGGAGAACUAGGUGCAGAUUGUAAAUGUGUGACUUUACAAGUUUAGCUGAAUAAAGAGAAUAUAUCCUCCAUAUCAUCUACACACAAGUAACAUUCACUUGCUAAAAGCAAGAAAAGUAACACAAGGCAUGACGACAAAAACAUUACUUCCACAUUGUUGCUAGCUGUGAAGUUUGUCAAAGUUGAACAGAAGAAUAUCCCGCAGUGUCAAAGUUGGAUAGAAGAAAUAGUGCGGCACACGAAGUGGGUUUGUAAAUGAGUGACAACGCUAAUAUUUUUCUCCCAGUGCAACACACGGCCAUAUGUUCUAGAUAAAAAAGGAAAAGGAGGAACUGCCGAGGAAGUAUGUUCAUGCACUGGAAGCUUUACUGGGUCAUGAUGCACAUUGAGAAGUUAGUGGUGUGUUCUACUUUUCUUUUGAGAUAAUUGUUGAAUAAUGGAAAAAGGGCACUACUGUUGGGGUGAAACCCAUGAUAUUUCUAAUGGUAUGUACAACCAGAUGUUAUACUGAAAAAUUCAGGAAUCUUAUCCCAAUACUUUUGACCACUACUGUACUCCGACCACAAAAGUUGUUCGAACUUGCCAUGUGCCAAAUAACCAAUGGUACAGAGGCCAUGCAACUUAAAACAUCAAAUUUGGGGUGGUCGUCCAACCUUCUUCAUUGCCUUCUUUUAUGGGCCAGUGAUCUAUUUCAAGAUCGUUGUCAUCAACGUCUUCUGAAUCCAGCUAGCGACUUCCUAGCCACUGUGCAAAUAACAUUUUUGUGGCUCUGAUGUUGUUUUAAAGGUCCAAAGGUCCCAUCAAGCUUUGCUCACGACACGUCAUCAAUGAAUGCAGGAGGAAGAUAAAGACUUUGAUUUUCCGAAGGUCAUGCAUAUAAUUUUUAAUUUUAGUAAGGAUGACCUUGUAAGGGUUGAUCGACUUUAAUAUAUGACCUUUGCCAUUUUUUGCCAAGAAAAAAAACUUUAAUAUGUGGCCUUUGACCCUUAUUAUAUGCAUUUUCUAUUUUUAGGUGUAUAUAUGCAUUUUCCUAUUUCCUGCUUGACCCAGUGGUUAAGGCCUUAACCAUACGUAGUGCUCGCAGUCUUGUACGCUAGUUCCUGUAUGGGCUGGCCCAUGUUUCCAUCUAAAAGGUUCCAAUGGUUUUUUGAGAUUUUCCAGGGUCGGUUCCGUUUGAUUUUUUCUUUUCCCAUUUUUUAUUUUUUUAUUUAAAAAAUUGUGACCUUCUUACAAUUUCGCAAUCUUUUCACAAAUUUCUGAACUUCUGCCCAAAUUUGUGAAUUUUGUUUUCAAAUUUGGUGAAGAUUAACAAAUUCACGAACAUUUUUCUAAUUCCUUAACAUUUUUAAAUUUGUGAACAUUUUUUAUAAUCCAUGAUUUUUUCAAAUCAUGAACUUUUCUAAUGUGUGCUCAUUUUUAUUGAAUUCAUGUUUUUUUUUCAAUUUUUGAAUAUAGUUUUUUUAUCUUUUAAAAAACUGACUUGAUAUUUUCCUCACUCUUUAGUUUGUAUAUUUUUCCUGAAACUGGUGCGGGCGAGCAAUCGCUAGCACCGGAAACCAGUGAGGCGACCAAAAUUUCAUGGCUUGUGGCAUGCUUAUAGGCCCGUGAUCUACCGCAGAAAGGGGAGCUCCUAUCGCGGCGACUAUAUUUGAGAGCUAUUUCUCUCUUUAAGAGAGACGAUAGCUUGCUCUCGCUGAAGGAAUUGGCCUCUCGCGCAAGAAACUUGACCUGCCCAUCAACACACUUUUAAAAACAAAAGGAGGAUGAAAAAGGUGCACACGAGAGGGAUUGAUCCUAGUACCUCUAAGAAGGAGACCACUGCUGCUAGCCAGCGCUGUUCAUGGCUAGAAUUGGUGGGCGUCCUUCUUGAGGUAACUAGAGCCUGUUUUCUUCUUUUUUCUUCUCUAUUUUUUAUUCUUUUUGCAUUUGUUUCUCUAGUUUAUUUUCAUUUUUUCUCUAGUAUUUUUUCGGUUUUUAUUUUUUUGGUUUUCUCCCUGUUUCUUUCAUUAUUUUUCAUUGUCUUUUGCAUUUUUCCUUUGGUUUUACUUUAUUUAAUUUGAUUCUAUUUUCAUUUUUCUUUGUUCUUUUGGUUAUUAUUCUACAUUUUUUGUAUAUGACGACAACAUAUUUCUAAUACACAUCUAACAUUUGUUCAA